AUUGUUAUUCCUCCCUGGAACUUUGGACUUUAUUGAUACAAAUUAGUUUUCACGAUUUAGUUAACAUAUUGUUAAAAGAAAUUGUUUAAAAAUUAUACUUGUCAAAUAUGUUCACCACUUGUUUUAGAACGUUUCGAACUGGGAACAAAUAUGGAUUAUUGGCACGUUAUGAAUCCACGUUAGUUAUUGCAGAACAUAAUAAUGAAUCUCUAGCCCCUAUCACUUGUAAUACAUUAAGUGCAGCAAAAAAAAUUGGUGGUGAUAUAACAGUCUUAGUUGCUGGUACCAAAUGUGAUGCAGUUGCACAAAGUGUCAGUAAAGCUAAUGGUGUAUCCAAAGUUUUGGUGGCAGAGAGCGACGCUUUUAAAGGAUUUCUUCCAGAAGCACUAACGCCUCUUAUCCUUGCUACUCAAAAUGAGCAUAAAUUUACCCAUAUUUUAACUGGUGCUACUGCAUUUGGUAAAGCACUAUUGCCAAGAGUUGCAGCUAAAUUAGAUGUGUCUCCAAUAAGUGAUAUUAUUGGUAUUAAAGCAGCAGAUACAUUCAUCCGUACAAUUUAUGCAGGAAAUGCAAUUCAAACUUUAAAGUGCAAAGACAAUAUAAAGAUAGUUUCAGUGAGAGGCACUGCAUUUGAAGCAAUACCUUUGGAUGGAGGCAGUGCCAAGUGUGAACCUGCACUAGCUGGUGACUACAAAUCACAAUUGGCAGAAUUCAUUAAACAGGAGUUAUCUAAAUCUGAUAGACCAGAAUUGACAUCUGCAAAAAUCGUUAUAUCUGGAGGAAGAGGAAUGAAGUCUGGCGAUAACUUCAAAUUAUUAUAUAGUUUGGCAGAUAAACUUAAUGCUGCAGUUGGCGCUUCCCGUGCUGCUGUUGAUGCUGGUUAUGUGCCUAAUGAUUUGCAAGUGGGGCAGACAGGAAAAAUUGUUGCUCCAAAUCUAUAUAUUGCUGUUGGUAUCUCUGGAGCAAUUCAGCAUCUAGCUGGUAUGAAAGAUUCAAAAACGAUUGUGGCAAUUAACAAAGAUCCAGAAGCACCAAUCUUCCAAGUAGCUGAUUAUGGCUUAGUUGCUGAUUUAUUCAAGGCUGUUCCUGAACUUACAGAAAAAUUCUAGUGCUGCACCAUACACCAAGUGCUAAAGGUAGCCAUGCUAGCAUAUACAAGAUCCUAUAAAAUUAGGAGUCUGGUGGCACGCUAGCAUAGACAAGUUCCAUGCUACAAGAACCUAUUUAAUUGUACGGUUCUGUGGGAAAAUUCAUAUCUAUUUUUCUAUCCGGAAUAAACAAACAAGAAAAGAGAAUAUUUUCUUUCAAACGAUAAUGGAUCACUUAAUUCGUUGAGCCGUAAAUAAAUAAUAUGCAAAAUAAGAGUAUGCAAAAUUUUAUAUCCAAAUGUUUAUUAGUUUUUCCAAAAAGCUAUUUAACAACUAAAAAGUAGUCUUCGUUGCACACUCGUCAUCUCCACGACGGAGAGAAGGUUCCCUUGACGCACUGAAAGGCUCGACAGCCUGUUGACCCUCGAGUAGUGUAACAUGAUCCAAUGUCAGAUAUCCACGAGGCAAUGUAUCUAGGUAUUAAUUUAAAAGUGAAACUUCUUUCAUUUUUGACUUUUUUAAAAUUAAACUUUUACAAACGUGUUUGUGAGAUGUUUCUGAUUAAAACGAGUAUAGAAAUAUGCGCCAAAAUACAUCGUGUUUGGUGUCAUUUUAAUCCGAAAAAUGUAAGAAACAUGCUGGUAAAAGUUUCAUUGGUCACAAAUAAAAAAUAAGAAAGUUUGAUUUUUAA
RNA transcript from Bombus huntii, 1779 nucleotides. It is a transcript of the gene named electron transfer flavoprotein subunit alpha, mitochondrial, with no coding region annotated. Lineage: Eukaryota; Metazoa; Arthropoda; Insecta; Hymenoptera; Apidae. The transcript is spliced from 6 exons. The record is from RefSeq and is a predicted model, not a curated record.